RNAcentral lists this long non-coding RNA (341 nucleotides) under Homo sapiens (human). Its description in RNAcentral is "HSALNT0363328". Lineage: Eukaryota; Metazoa; Chordata; Mammalia; Primates; Hominidae. The record is from RNAcentral.
CUUCGCCCGGCAAGGCUGGCCAGGAGGGGUGCAUUCUCCCUUUCCGCGUAUUUCAAGACCACUCCCCUUCUGCAUGCUCGGUGUCCCAGUCUGUCUCCUCGCUGCCUCCCGAGGCCUGGAACUGAAGCAAAGUUCGCCCCGAAGCCGACCGUUCUUUGAAGUUGAAAUCCUCAAAAAGCCUGCAGACUGAAUAGCGCUGUACUGGGCACGCGCAUUGCGCUUCCAGCCGCCCUUGGGUGCUGCGUGCUGGGCCGGGUCGGGUUGGGGCCUUCCUACAUACUCUUGCGACCAUUAGGCUCUUCUUGGGUGAGUUGCAAGUUAAAAUUACCAGGGCUCUCUGA